This 391-nucleotide ribosomal RNA is filed under the name uncultured bacterium. RNAcentral describes it as "bacterial SSU rRNA". It matches the Rfam family "Bacterial small subunit ribosomal RNA", at positions 29 to 416 of the family's 1533-position model. The record is from RNAcentral.
AUUGAACGCUGGCGGCAUGCCUUACACAUGCAAGUCGAACGGCAGCACGGGAGCAAUCCUGGUGGCGAGUGGCGAACGGGUGAGUAAUAUAUCGGAACGUGCCCGGGUCGUGGGGGAUAACGUAGCGAAAGCUACGCUAAUACCGCAUACGAUCUACGGAUGAAAGCGGGGGAUCGCAAGACCUCGCGCGAUUGGAGUUCGGCCGAUAUCAGAUUAGGUAGUUGGUGAGGUAAAGGCUCACCAAGCCGACGAUCUGUAGCUGGUCUGAGAGGACGACCAGCCACACUGGGACUGAGACACGGCCCAGACUCCUACGGGAGGCAGCAGUGGGGAAUUUUGGACGAAUGGGCGCAAGCCUGAUCCAGCAAUGCCGCGUAGCAGGAUGAAGGCC